This 1675-nucleotide long non-coding RNA is filed under the name Apis florea (little honeybee). RNAcentral describes it as "uncharacterized LOC116414085". Lineage: Eukaryota; Metazoa; Arthropoda; Insecta; Hymenoptera; Apidae. The record is from RNAcentral.
AUAUACAAAAAGUCGAUACUAAACACAAAUAUUCAAUCAAUUCUCAAUUUUAUAAUAUUCUUCGGUUUCUUUUGAACUUUUUGUUUGUUAAUACUUCGCAAGAAACCUGUAGAAUUCUGCUCACUGGUAAUUAUCUUAUCAUAAAACAUUCAGCCAACAACGUUCAAAAGAUUUCCGAUGAAUUACGAGAAUCAUAAUGCAACGAUGCGUGCACAUUUGCGGCGCAUAGGUGAUUCGACCUCGUCACCUUGCCAUAGCUCGACUAUUCUAACGUUGACACCCGCUAAAUAAAUCAAUCGUGUUCGCGCGAGAAGAAGGAUGCUCGAAGGAUUGGAGAAGCUAUAGAACGUUGAAACGGAAAGUUCAUGCCGACUUGUGAAUCAUGAUAUUAGCAAGAUAUCGUUGAAACCAUUCAGGCCAACUAUUUCGAUGAGCCAAUACCUAAUAUUGACUCCUCUUUACUUUCCGAAAGAAGUUAUGCGACACGUCUCUUGUAUAAUAUGAGUUGUCAAAGAUACUGUGAAAAUUACUCACACUUAAAAAAAAAAUCUUAAAUUAAAAGGAAGAUUCCUAUUUCUCCUACAAUAUCUGGAUUCUCUUCUACAAUUCUCUUCUUUUUUUAACUAAUAAUAGUGAAUUAAUAAGUGAAAAAUAUAGAUAUUAUUAUAAUUUUAUAUAUGAAAGAAAUAGAUUAAUCAAAUAAUUUAGAAUUUAUAAAAUUUCAUUUAUUUUUAUUACAAAAUUUAAUAUUAUUAAUAUAAGAUAAUUUAUUAAUAUUGAUAACAUGUAACUUAUGAUUUUUUUAUUAAUUUUAAUUAAUAAUAAUAAUUUAAUUAGGCAGAAGUGCAAAAAUCUUUUUCAAACAAAUGAUUAAAAAUUUAAUCUAUCAUUGAAUAUCAUUGAUAUAGAUGAUUCAGAAUUCAUGUAAACCAUUAAUUGCAAUAAUCUUCUUGAUUAAGUAAUUGCAAUAAUCAAAAGAAAAAACAGAAAUAAAUGAUUCAAGGGAGAUUUCAUUAAACUGGGUAAAAUAAUGCCCGCUGGCAUUUAAAUCUUAUGGUGAAAUUACAUAAUACAAUAACUGGAAGAAGGUAUAAAGAGAGAAAGUGUAUUAAAUAGCUAGUUACAAAGCCAAUGCGUUUCAGCGUUAAUUGAAUAACAGUGAAAUUUCGUAUUUGAACUUUUUUUCACGGCCACAAUGUUCACAUAGUUGAAGAAAGAAAAGGAAGUUGAACUCGUGAUUGUUCUCUCUCUAGAUGGUAUCGAUAAUUUAUCCAGCACGAAUGAAAUAAAUCGAUCGAUACAAGUUUUACGUACAAUGGAUGAUUCACGACUGCGAGGCUAGACGACACUUUUGAGCCACCAUUAAAAAUCCACUAUGCAGACGCAAUAGUACUUGUGUAUCAGUGGAGGCUCGUCUGCCGACAGUGUGGUGGCAUUUAACCGAUCCAUGCCAUCGUGUUCGCCAGCUCUAUUACGCAACUAGUGUCUUUAAGCCGGCGGCAACGAUUGUGACGACGACAUCGACGACAACGAAGAUGACAACAGCAACAUCGACCUCAUGUGGUCCAUGUUAGCUUAGAUUCUUGCGAAAUUUUUAAUUCUCACGUGAGUUUUUCAUUAGAGAUAGAAUUAAGUUCAAUAUAUAUUUAAUUCGAAUCAAUUUUAAUAAGGUAUU